This 484-nucleotide ribosomal RNA is filed under the name uncultured bacterium. RNAcentral describes it as "partial 16S ribosomal RNA". It matches the Rfam family "Bacterial small subunit ribosomal RNA", at positions 30 to 507 of the family's 1533-position model. The record is from RNAcentral.
AUUGAACGCUGGCGGCAGGCCUAACACAUGCAAGUCGAGCGGAUGAAGGGAGCUUGCUCCUGGAUUCAGCGGCGGACGGGCGAGUAAUGCCUAGGAAUCUGCCUGGUAGUGGGGGAUAACGUCCGGACACGGGCGCUAAUACCGCAUACGUCCUGAGGGAGAAAGUGGGGGAUCUUCGGACCUCACGCUAUCAGCUGAGCCUAGGUCGGAUUAGCUAGUUGGUGGGGUAAAGGCCUACCAAGGCGACGAUCCGUAACUGGUCUGAGAGGAUGAUCAGUCACACUGGAACUGAGACACGGUCCAGACUCCUACGGGAGGCAGCAGUGGGGAAUAUUGGGCAAUGGGCGAAAGCCUGAUCCAGCCAUGCCGCGUGUGUGAAGAAGGUCUUCGGAUUGUAAAGCACUUUAAGUUGGGAGGAAGGACAGUAAGUUAAUACCUGGCUGUUUUGACGUUACCAACAGAAUAAGCACCGGCUAACUUCGUG